Molecule: ribosomal RNA, 585 nt
Filed under: uncultured bacterium
Lineage: Bacteria
Description: partial 16S ribosomal RNA
Rfam family: Bacterial small subunit ribosomal RNA
Source: RNAcentral
UGGGGAAUUUUGGACAAUGGGCGAAAGCCUGAUCCAGCAAUGCCGCGUGUGUGAAGAAGGCCUUCGGGUUGUAAAGCACUUUUGUCCGGAAAGAAAUCCUUGGCUCUAAUACAGUCGGGGGAUGACGGUACCGGAAGAAUAAGCACCGGCUAACUACGUGCCAGCAGCCGCGGUAAUACGUAGGGUGCAAGCGUUAAUCGGAAUUACUGGGCGUAAAGCGUGCGCAGGCGGUUUGCUAAGACCGAUGUGAAAUCCCCGGGCUCAACCUGGGAACUGCAUUGGUGACUGGCAGGCUAGAGUAUGGCAGAGGGGAGUAGAAUUCCACGUGUAGCAGUGAAAUGCGUAGAGAUGUGGAGGAAUACCGAUGGCGAAGGCAGCCCCCUGGGCCAAUACUGACGCUCAUGCACGAAAGCGUGGGGAGCAAACAGGAUUAGAUACCCUGGUAGUCCACGCCCUAAACGAUGUCAACUAGUUGUUGGGGAUUCAUUUCCUUAGUAACGUAGCUAACGCGUGAAGUUGACCGCCUGGGGAGUACGGUCGCAAGAUUAAAACUUAAAGGAAUUGACGGGGUCAUAGCUGUUUCCU